Apis cerana (Asiatic honeybee) is the source of this 9350-nucleotide RNA transcript. It is a transcript of the gene named Insulator su(Hw) mRNA adaptor, with no coding region annotated. Lineage: Eukaryota; Metazoa; Arthropoda; Insecta; Hymenoptera; Apidae. The record is from RefSeq and is a predicted model, not a curated record.
UGUCUUUCGGGAAAUAGCGCCGCCAUCUUGAGUAGCAUGGCCCAGCUAGACAGUGCGCCCUGAGUUGAGACAUGCGAUUUAUCGCAAAAACAUUGAACGUCCCAAGAAUCACGGAUUUCUGUGAAACAUAGCAAAUAUUUGGUGCUUUGCACCUUCAUCAGAAUGGAAGCGGUUAAGGCAUUUAACGCAGAGCUUUCAGCUUUGUAUGAUGUCAAACCACCAAUUUCAAAAGCUAAAAUGAAUUCUUUAACUAGGGGUGCAAUUAAAGCAAUUAAAUUUUAUAAACAUGUUGUGCAAAGUGUUGAAAAAUUUAUUCAAAAAUGUAAACCAGAAUACAAAGUGCCCGGAUUGUAUGUUAUUGAUUCAAUUGUACGCCAAUCUAGACAUCAGUUUGGAGUAGAGAAAGAUGUUUUUGCUCCACGCUUUGCUAAGAACAUGCAAACUACUUUCUUAAAUCUUUUGAAAUGUCCUCAAGAAGAUAAAAGUAAAGUAAUAAGAGUUUUAAAUCUUUGGCAAAAAAAUGCAGUUUUUCCUUCAGAAGUAAUACAACCUUUAUUUGAUCUUGCGGAUCCAAAUCAUCCAAUACAUAAAGAACAAGUAGUUAAUACUAAUGGUACAUUGAAUAUUUCUUCAACAAAUAAUGUUAGUAAUACUGGUACUUCUAUAAAAACUCCACCUUUAACUGCAAAAAAUGCAGUAAAAGAUCAAAAAAUAUUUUCUUCUGCAAAACCAAUUGAUCCUGCUUGGCUUGCACAAACAAAAAUGGAGACAGCAAAUAUAGUUAAUGCUAAUAAACUUUUAGGGCAAUCAAAUUCAAAUCAAAUGGAUGCUUCUUUUCUUGAUCAAUUACAACAUUUACAACAAUUGUUAUUAAAAAAGCAAGAAUCGAAUGAACAAAAAAGUUCUGUAAAAUUUGAUAAAAAACUCUUAGAUUUUGAUUAUGGUGAAGAAGAAGAUGAUGAUGUUGUUGUUGCUAAUUCGCCAGCAGCAACAACAACAUCUAAUACUGGUCAACAUAAUACACUUUCAACUGGAAAUAGUCUAGAAAGUCUUGGACUUCUUUUAACAAAUCCAGAGGUUUUGAGACAACUUCAAACAUUACAACAAACAAUGCAAGGAAGUACUUCUUCACAACAUGAAACAGAAGAAAAAAUGCGAAAGCUUCAACAAAUGAAACAGCAAGAAGAAGAAUUUGAUAAGCAUUUAGCUCAAACUGUUCCUAAUUUACCAUUUGCGUCAGAAUGUGAAUUAAAACCUUCGGAUAUCUUGAAACCAAGUCAACAAAGUACAUAUACAACAAAUGUAAAUAGCGGCGUCAUACAAGAUAUGAGUCAACCACCUCCUGGUUAUCCACCAGCUCUACCAUAUGCCUCUCAACCUUUAUCAAAUAUUAGGCAGAUAAAUCAACAAACGCAUCAAAAUCAAAAAAGUCCGCUUCUGGAUGAACGGCAAGACACACAAGAUUAUUCUGGAAAUGGCGCAAGACGAGAUAGUAGCAGUGUAGAAAUUGUAAAUUGUGAAAAUACAAGAUCACAAAGUAGAUCGCCUGAUCGAUACAGACAUCAUAGUCGUUCUAGAUCACCAAGACAUAGAGAUAGAGAUAGAGAUAGAGAUAGAGAUAGAGAUCGAGAUCGAGAUCGAGACAGAGAUAGAAAAUCUCGAUCAAGAAGUAGAUCUAGAAGAAGAAGAUCUAGAUCAAGAGAUAGAGGUCGUGACAGAAAACGAGAGGAUAGUCGAGAAAAAAUGACUGAAGAAGAACGAGAAAAAGAAAGAGAAAGACGUAAACGAGGAUUGCCACCAAUUGUGAGAGAUAAAUUAAGUGUUUGUAGUACUACUCUUUGGGUAGGACAUUUAUCAAAAUUGGUACAUCAAGAAGAACUUUCAGAUACGUUUGGAGAAUUUGGUGACAUUGUUAGUAUAGAUUUAAUUUCACCUAGAGGUUGCGCCUUUAUAUGUAUGAAUAGAAGACAAGAUGCAUACCGGGCUCUUACUAAGCUUAAAAAUCAUAAAAUGCAAGGAAAAGCAAUCACUUUAGCUUGGGCACCAGGAAAAGGAGUAAAAGGAAAGGAAUGGAAAGAUUAUUGGGAAGUUGAAUUAGGAGUUAGUUAUAUUCCUUGGAAUAAAUUAGUUAAUGUUACUGAUCAAGAUUUAGAACUAUUAGAAGAAGGAGGUAUGAUUGAUGAGGACACUCUACCGCCCAAUUUAAAAGGUAAAUUAAAGCAUUCCGGAACUGCAGAUGUGCUCCAACAACAGUUGCAAUUACAACAACAAGCAUUAGUUGCAGCUACUGGAAUACCAAAUUUAGCAGAUGGUAUGGUAAAUGUAAUGCAACCUUCAACUAGCGCUCAACAGCAACAAUCUCAACAGCAAACUCAGCAACAAGGUCAACAACAACAACAAGUAAUUGAUACAAGUCAACCUCCACCAAUUAGACCUCCUACAUCAGCUGCGCUUUUAGCACCACCAAAUACACAAUUACAGAUGAUGCCACCUGCUUUCACAAUGCCAGGAGUUCCUCGUAUGAUUGGACCAAUGGGAUUACCAAUGGCACAUAGUUUAAUGCCAAAUGUUCCCAUAGGUGUGCCACCUCCAAAUAUGCAAAGUUUAUUAGGACCACCAGGAAUGAUGCAAACUAUGUUAACGCCACCUGUAAAUUCUCCAUUUGGAGCAAGUGUUGGCGUUGGUUUAUUAACUCAAAUUCCUUUACCAGCUCCAGCAGCACCUUCUGAUAAACCUAAUUCUACUGGUAUGCCACAUAAUGUUCCUCCGAUAGGAGUUCCACCGCCAACAACGGAAACAGGAAUGCCAAAUUUACCAAUGUUACGUCAACCAUAUGGUGUAGGACCUUCUGCACCCUUACAAAUGCAACUACCUCAACAACAUUCUGGUGAUGAUAUGGAUGUGGAAAUGGAAGAUGCAAUGCCACAAAAUUCAAACGGAGCAAAGAAUAAAAAUAAUUUAACUGAACAACAACUUCCACAAAAUGAAGAGCGAAUAGAAUCUGAUCAACAAGUAGAACCUCGAGAUUAUAAAGAAAGAGAAAGAGAUCGUGAAAAUAGAGAAAGAAGAGAUAGAGAAACACAUUUAUCGCAUAGAGAUAGAGAAGGUAAUGAUUCUAGAAUGGAUCGUGGAAGAGACAGAGGUAGAGGAAGAGAUAGAGGACGUGAUCGCAGAAGAGAUCUUAGAGAUAGAGAUAGAGAUGAUAGAAGAGAAAGAGAAAACAGAGAAAAUCGGGAAGGAAAUCCACAAACUCAAAAUCUUCAGGAAAACGAAUCUACUCCAAAAAAAGAUAGCAAACCAAGUUUAGCAGAUCGUUUGCGUCAAUUGGCUGAUGGUACACUGCCGCUUGAAGAUCGUGUUGAUCGAAUAAUUCCUCGUAAUCGUCAAGAACGAGAUAGAUCUGAUAGAAAUUUUGAUGAUUCUCGAUCAACACGUGGAGAACCUCUUUCUUCUUUGAUGGAUUUACCAAAAUUUGGUUUACCUCAAGAAAGAAGUGAUUUCCCAGCUCGACCACCAGAUUUUCGUAAUCCACAAGAUCCAAGAGAAUAUCAACAACAAAGAGAUAGACAAAAUUUUGGAAGAAGUCACAGAGGAUCACAGAUACACGAGGAAUUUAUGGAUGUUCCAAGGUUGCAAGGAGGAAUAUAUCAAGAAGAAUUUGAUAAUAGAAUACAUGGACAGCAAAGAGUAGAAGAUUUUGGAAGACUUGGACCACUCAGAGAACAAAGAGAGGAAUUCGAUAGAUCUGAAGUACGAGGAAGAAGACCACUUGAUGAUCGAGAUCGAUUUGAUUAUGAAAUAAGACGAGAUGGUUUUGAUCCGCGACUUCAAGAUAAUUUCGAUCCAAGAGGGCAUCUUGACCGAGGUGAUUUUGAACCUAGGAGACGAGAAUUUUUUGGAAUCGAUCCUAUAUUUGGAAUGCCACCAAUCAUGGGACCUAGAGGUCCAAGACCCGGACAUCCUGAUGGAUUUGGACCACGUCCAACUCCCUUAGGAGUUCGCGGACCAGGUCCAUUAAUGUUCCAUCCGCGAGGCUUGGGACCCCGUCCUCUUCGUCCUGGAAUGAGGCCUUUCGGACCUCGUGGACCACCAUUCGAUCCCCGAGAAUCAGAUGCCUUUUUUAGACCUCCCUUUGAUGAUAUUCGUCCCCAUGUCAGACCACCUUUUGGACCUAUGGGUCCACCAUCUAUUAUUCCUCCAGAAUCUGCUGUUCCCUGGAGAAAUCAGGAACUUCCUCCUGGUUCUUGGUCUUCUGACUCAGAGAAUCACUUACAAAGAGAUAAUCUUAGAGAUAAAAAAGGUAAUAAUAAACAUUCAAGUAACAUGGAAAGAGAAAAUCGAAAUAGGGGACGAAAAUCAAGAUGGGCUAAUGUAAGUCCAUCUGGAGAAGAAGUGGAAGAAUCAAAAGAACAAGAAUCAAUAUCUACAAAUGUUGAAGAAAAAGAACCUAUAAAGGAAGAGGAAAUAGUGAAAGAAGAGGAAAAAGAAGAAAUUGGAAUAAAGGAAAUAAUCUCUAAUGAACAAAAAGAAGAAUUAAAAGAAACGAUUGAGGCAAAUCAAGAAGUCAUUGAAAUGAAGAAGGAAGAAGAAGAGGAUCGCAGGGAUUCUUAGACCAAAGUAAAAAGCGAUUAUUCUCUUUAAAAUUUUUUCUUACUCUAUGGAGUGGUGUGAGGGAGAAUUCGCUUCAAAUUAGGUCAAAUUGAAACAAUCAAUUUUAGAAAAUGGAAUACUGAAUUUUAAAAUAAUUAUAUUCAAUCGAUGAUAAUUAUUGUUAAAAAUAAUAAUAUGUCGUUUUAAUUUUAUUCUCUGUAAUAUUGAUGAAAUUAUUGCUUGUUAAAGAUAGAUCUUAAGAAGUAAAUAUAACAAAGAAAUUAUAAUAAAUAAAAUUUAAAAAAAUACAAGAUUUUAAUUUACUUUAAAUUAAUAAAUUCUUAUAUAAAUUUAAAAUAUCAUAUUUUUUAGAAAAAUAUAUUAGUAAAAAAAAUAUUUUUACUAAUUUUUCAAUCUAUACCAUUUUUUAUAUUUAAAUAAUUAUUUUAUAUUAUUUUACAAUGUAUAAAAUAAAAAUAAUAUAAAUAUAUCAUCGAUUGAACAUAAUAAGAUAUCUUUAAUUCAGGAUUUCAAGUUUCAAACAAAUUGAUUUUGUCAAUUUGAUAAUGUAAGAAAUUGUGAGUUUUGAACACAGGACUUAUGAUCUGUGGAUACUCCAAGACGACUUAUUUAUUGAAUUGUAAAUACUUUUGUAUUUUCGUAGUGAACAAAAAUAUACACAAUAUAUUCAAUUUAAAUUUAUAUAUUUAACUAUUUCUCUAAACUUUUGGAAAUAUAAAAAAAUGUUUGAUUCUAAAAUGAGUAAAUAUAUUUUCUAUUUUGAAUAAGAAAAGAUUUUAAAUUAUUAAUUCAAUAGUUUUAUUAAAUUAUAUUUUAAUACUUUUCUAAAAAAAAUUAAAUUAAAUUAAUUUAUUUUUAAUAUGUAAAAAAUAAUCAAAAGUAAUAAAUAUUAAUUUUUUUUUACAAAAAUAUGUAAAUCUACUUCAAAAGAAGAAAAAUAUAAAUACAAUUUUUAUGUUUACUAUUAUUAUUCAUCAAAUGAUUUUUUAAUAUUUUUUUUUUAUAUUUCCAAAUAGUCAAAGAAAUUAAAUAUAUAUAUUUAAAUCAAUACUGUAUAGAUAAAUAAAUCUUAAUAAUAGAAUCUUGAUUAACCGUAUAUUCUAAAAACUAUAAAUAUUUUUCCUUGAUUGAAUUUCAUUGUUCAACUAAAUUUUAAGAAUAUAUAGAAUGUUAAUAUAUUCGUAAGAUACGUUUGAAGAAACGACUUUAGAUAAUAAAUACAAAAACUUAUAUAUGAAAAUAUUGAUUAUUUAUUAAAUUAUUUUUAAUUUAAGUAUAUAUUAAAUGAAACGAGCAUGAAUAGAGAUAAUAACGAUAUAACGAAGACAAUAGUUUCAUUCUAUUAGCUUUAUUUAAUGAAAACUUCAAUUAUAAUGUAAUAAAUAAGCUUCAAUUGAUUUUUUUUUUUUGUUUGUUCCUAGAAUUAACUUUGCAACUUUUCUCUUCUUUCAACGAAUAUAUUAAUACUUUAUAUAUAGAGAUAAUAAUAAAAUUAUAUAAUAGAUAAAAAGAUCAGUAACUGAUUGAAUUCAAAUAAUUUUUCAUUUUAUUUGAAUAUAUUAUAUUAAUAUUCAUAUAAUAUUCGUAAGAUAUGUUUGAAAGAACAACUUUAAAAAUAAAAAUAUAUUAAUAUUCAUUUUAAUUAGAUUUUUUUAUUCAAUAUAAAUAAGAACUAAAAUUUUCGUAUUUUUUAUAAAAUAAAAAAAUUAAAUAAUUAAAAAAAAUGUGAAUUCGGAUAAGCAAGAUUCUACUCCAAAUAUUUAAUUAGAUAGAGAGAGAGAUUAUAUAUAUAUAUAUAUAUAUAUAUAUAUAUAUAUAUAAUAUAUGUAUACGUAUGUAUGUGUGGAUAUAGAUGCGUGCUUGCACGCAUGCAUGUGUGUAUGUAUACGUUUGUAUGAAAGGAAAAUGUAAAAAUUGACAAAUAUUUGCAUGUAUGUAAUUGACUAUGAAAAAAGAAAAAAGAGAGAGAAAGUAAAGUGAAAAUAUAUAUAGCACUGAUGUUCGGUGCGGCUCAAUCAAACAAAAAAUAAAUAUUUUCUAUAUAACAUCUUUCUUCAUAAGCAGAAUAACAGCCUUUCAUUCCGCUGGCUCCCAGAAUUGUCUUUAUCUUUUUCCUAAUAGGCAUCAAAUAUAUAACUUUAAUAAUGUAUAAAAUUAUUUUUAAGAGAUUUUGUCUGGGAGUCUUCAUAAUAAAAUCAAGAUAAUUAGUCAUUAUUUAUUAAUUUUAUUUAUCAUUAUUUAUAUGACUGGUUUGAUUAAUUUUUUAUUUUUAUCAAUCUUUAUUUAUAUCACAAUAAGUUUAAUUGUUUAAUCAACUUAUAGGAAAGUUUCUAAAUUACUUCCAAAAAAUAGUUUGAACAUUAAACUAGUUGUGAGCCAAAUCAUCAUCAAUUGAUUUACUAUAAUCUUUUUUAAUAAAUAUAUUUAUUUUUUAAUAAAUAUCUUAGCUAAUUUUUUAUAAGCAAAAUAUAAAAAAAGAAUAUUUCUUUUUUAUUAUUAAUAAAAAAAAUUAAAAUAUAAAAAUAUAAUAAAUAUAAUUGUUACUUAACAUUAAAUAUGAUUAUUAUUCUGAUGAUUAUACAAAUUUAUUUAUUUUUUUAAUUUGCAUUAAAAGAAAAUAUUUUAUGCUAUCAAUUACUAAAUGUUUUUAAAAUAAUUAUUAAGUCUAUUUUAACUAAUAUAUUAUUCUAUCUAAUUCUUUUACUAUGCAAUUUAUGUCUGAAAAAUUUUUCCUCCGAAUAUCGAAUAAUAUAUUAAAGAAAUUUAAUUUAAAGAAAUCAGAAAUUUCAAUAAAAAUUUUGAUAUAAAACGGAGAAAUUUCUGAAACAAUAAAAGUUAAAUAUUUGAAAUGAUAUUCGGAAUGGAAUUAAAUCUUUUCAGCUUUAGAUACUUAUUCAGUACUCAUACUUGUGUAUUCACAUACUUGCGUGAGUCUCUCUCUCUGUCGCCAUACGACGAUGGAACACCAGCCACCAGGUCGCUUACGCUCAAACUGAGCGCCAAGUGCAAGGUACUGUUGUGUUUUACUCAUAAUAUUUAUGUAGGUAGACAUACAGACACACACGCGAGCACACAUAUGCACAUACACCAUGUAUAUAUAUAUGUAUAUAUAUAUAUGUAUGUAUAUAUGUAUAUAUAUAUAUAUAUAUAUAUUCAUUUAUUUAUUUAUUUAUUUAUUUAUACAUAUUACAUUCUGGACAAACUUAUACAAAAAGAUGAAACAUGUUUAUUAUAUUCUUAAUGAAGCGAAAAAAUUUAUUUUAAGAUAAUGUUAAUUAAUUUUAAUAUAUUUCUGAAUUUCUGAAAUUUUUUAAAAACUUUGUGUUUAAUCAUUACGAUUAAAAAAAACAUUGAAUUUGAUUUAUUCUAUGAAUUUUUAUUAAGUAAAAGUUAAAAUUUUGAAUUUCAUUAUAUAAUAUUUACUUACAUCGUAUUAUUUUAAUAAUUAAAAAAAUAUAUAAUUAUAAUGCAUAAAUGAUGUGCAAUAAAUGUGAAUUGAAAUAUUAUUAUUAUUAAAUAAAAAACAAUUUUAUUGAUAAAUUAAAAAUAUAAAUAUUAUUGUUUUAUCUAAUAAUAGAAAUUUCUAUUAAAGUUACUUAUGUUAAAUUUUAUUUAAUAAUAUUAGAUUUUAUAAUAAAUUUUGUAAAAAAAUGAGUUUAUAUUAUCAUAUUCAAAAAUCGUUUUAUGAUUUUUAAUAUAAGUUUAAGUUCGUCCAGAAUGUUAGUUUUUCAAAUAAAUCAUAUUAUAAAUUCCUAAUAGUAAAAAGAUUAAGAAAAAAAAGAGUAUCAUAAUUCAAAAUACUAUAAGCAUAAGAAGCCCGUGCACCACUCCGGAGUUCAAACAUAAAAUUCUGUUUCUUUUUCAGAAGUCAAAUAACAAAAAAUUGCGAGUAAUUUAUUUAUGAAGAAUUAAUGAAUCAUUUGUGUAAAUAUCUAUUUACAUAUUUAUAAAUAUUAUAUGAUAAAUAAUGAUAGAAUUUAACAAAACAAAUAUAAAUGCAAAGAUCAUUAUUUUUAAUAUUCUUUAUAAUAGCAGUAUUAUUAUUUGUAAUAUUUUAAUUGAAUUUAACUUAUUUAUGCUUGAUUAUAAUUUCUAUAUGUUAUAUAUAAUUUUUGUUUAAUUUAAAAUUAUUUUCUUUUCAAUCAAAUAUAAUAUAUUUUGUAACCUGUAUUGACAUCGAUAAAAAAAUAUGCACAUUGAUAUGCACAUGCGCAAAAAUACAUAGUUGAUAGAAUAUCGAAUAUAAAAUCUUGAGUAUACAUUAACCUCGAAUUUUUAUUCAUAUUCAUUUAAAAAACAUCAAAUAUUAAAUGAUCCAAUAUAGAAAAUACUUUGAAUAUAAGAUUUGAAUAUUUAAAAAAACUAAGAACAUUUAAAUAUUUAAAGAAUAAUAAAUUUUCAAUAUAAAACGAAAAUUAAUAUUUUUUUAUAACAAUUAAUUAUACCAUUAUCAAUUAUAACUUAAUAAGCAGUAAGAAUGAUUUCAUAUAAUUUUUUGCUAAAAACAAAAAAAUAUAAACAUUUUUACAAAAUAUAUUGCAAGUUAUAUACAAAAAAAAUGCAUAAUAUAACAUUUGUAGACUAGCACAAUACAUCUUGAAAUGGAACAAAUGGAUCUAUUAUGUGAUUUUUCCUCAAUCUUAUGUAUUUAUUGUAAACAUAAGCAUUUUAAUAAAAUUGAGAUAUAAAUGUAUAAUGAUAUGAGCAUAUAUCAUAUUAUAUUAAAUAAUUUAAGUUAA